This 914-nucleotide ribosomal RNA is filed under the name uncultured marine archaeon. RNAcentral describes it as "bacterial SSU rRNA". It matches the Rfam family "Archaeal small subunit ribosomal RNA", at positions 1 to 922 of the family's 1478-position model. The record is from RNAcentral.
UUCCGGUUGAUCCUGCCGGACCUGACUGCUAUCGGAUUGAUACUAAGCCAUGCGAGUCUUUGCAGUAAUGCAAGGCAUACGGCUCAGUAACACGUAGUCAACUUACCCUAUGGACGAGGAUAAUCUCGGGAAACUGAGCAUAAUACUCGAUAGAUCAUAAUGCCUGGAAUGGUUUAUGGUUAAAAUGAUUCGUCGCCAUAGGAUGGGACUGCGGCCUAUCAGCUUGUUGGUGAGGUAAUGGCCCACCAAGGCGAUUACAGGUACGGGCUCUGAGAGGAGAAGCCCGGAGAUGGGUACUGAGACAAGGACCCAGGCCCUAUGGGGCGCAGCAGGCGAGAAAACUUUGCAAUGUGCGAAAGCACGACAAGGUUAAUCCGAGUGAUUUCUGCUAAAGAAAUCUUUUGCAAGUCAUAAAACCACUAGUGAAUAAGGGGUGGGCAAGUUCUGGUGUCAGCCGCCGCGGUAAAACCAGCACCUCAAGUGGUCAGGAGGAUUAUUGGGCCUAAAGCAUCCGUAGCCUGCUCUGUUAGUUUUCGGUUAAAUCCAUGUGCUCAACACAUGGGCUGCCGAAAAUACUGCAGGGCUAGGGAGUGGGAGAGGUAGACGGUACUCAGUAGGAAGGGGUAAAAUCCUUUGAUCUAUUGAUGACCACCUGUGGCGAAGGCGGUCUACCAGAACACGUUCGACGGUGAGGGAUGAAAGCUGGGGGAGCAAACCGGAUUAGAUACCCGGGUAGUCCCAGCUGUAAACGAUGCAGACUCGAUGAUGCAUUGGCUUAUUGCCAAUGCAGUGUCGCAGGGAAGCCGUUAAGUCUGCCGCCUGGGAAGUACGUACGCAAGUAUGAAACUUAAAGGAAUUGGCGGGGGAGCACCACAAGGGGUGAAGCCUGCGGUUCAAUUGGAGUCAACGCCGGG